RNAcentral lists this ribosomal RNA (1008 nucleotides) under uncultured Gammaproteobacteria bacterium. RNAcentral describes it as "bacterial SSU rRNA". It matches the Rfam family "Bacterial small subunit ribosomal RNA", at positions 9 to 1006 of the family's 1533-position model. Lineage: Bacteria; Pseudomonadati; Pseudomonadota; Gammaproteobacteria. The record is from RNAcentral.
GAGUUUGAUCGUGGCUCAGAUUGAACGCUGGCGGCAGGCCUAACACAUGCAAGUCGGACGGCAGCACGGGAGCUUGCUCCUGGUGGCGAGUGGCGGACGGGUGAGUAGCGCUUGGGAAUCUGCCUGGCAUUGGGGGAUAACUCGGGGAAACUCGAGCUAAUACCGCGUACGCCCUGAGGGGGAAAGCAGGGGACUUGCUUGCAAGCCUUGCGAUGUCAGAUGAGCCCAAGCCGGAUUAGCUAGUUGGUGGGGUAAAGGCCUACCAAGGCGACGAUCCGUAGCUGGUCUGAGAGGAUGAUCAGCCACACUGGGACUGAGACACGGCCCAGACUCCUACGGGAGGCAGCAGUGGGGAAUAUUGGACAAUGGGGGCAACCCUGAUCCAGCCAUGCCGCGUGUGUGAAGAAGGUCUUAGGAUUGUAAAGCACUUUAAGUCAGGAGGAAGGCGCUCUGGUUAAUACCUGGAGUGAUUGACGUUACUGACAGAAUAAGCACCGGCUAACUUCGUGCCAGCAGCCGCGGUAAUACGAAGGGUGCAAGCGUUAAUCGGAAUUACUGGGCGUAAAGCGCGCGCAGGCGGUUCGAUAAGAAAGAUGUGAAAGGCCUGGGCUCAACCUGGGAAUGGCAUUUUUAACUGUCGGGCUAGAGUACGGUAGAGGGUGGUGGAAUUUCCUGUGUAGCGGUGAAAUGCGUAGAUAUAGGAAGGAACAUCAGUGGCGAAGGCGACCACCUGGACUGAUACUGACGCUCAUGUGCGAAAGCGUGGGGAGCAAACAGGAUUAGAUACCCUGGUAGUCCACGCUGUAAACGAUGUCAACUAGCCGUUGGUCUCCUAGUGGGAUAAGUGGCGCAGCUAACGCGAUAAGUUGACCGCCUGGGGAGUACGGCCGCAAGGUUAAAACUCAAAUGAAUUGACGGGGGCCCGCACAAGCGGUGGAGCAUGUGGUUUAAUUCGACGCAACGCGAAGAACCUUACCUGGCCUUGACAUCCACAGAACCUGCCAGAGA